AGAAUUGGCGCCUCAUGGAGUUAGAGUCAAUGCAGUGAACGGUGGUAUUUUUCCGACUAAGAUCUUCAAAAGAAGUGGGAUGACAGAUGAAGGGGUAUCAGAGUUUUAUGAAUACUGCAAGACGGUUCAUGCAAUGGGAAGGAUCGGAAAGCUUGAGGAGUCUUCUCGACUGAUCGCGUUCCUUGCGUCCAGUGAUUCGUCUUUUACCACCGGAGAAACAGUCGGUACUGAUGGAGGGCUUCAUCUGUUAGUCAAUGCGGCCCCGGUCAAUUCUAUUGAUGAUUGAUCCUUUUGAGUCAUUUUAAAAGAGGGAAAGGUCAAACAAGCUGAAAUUUUCAUCAAACUCAGACGUAAUAAAAUAAGGUUAUGGCAUUUUGAAGUUCGCUUAAUUUAGAUCAAGAUAUUGAGGGAGAGUGAAAAUACUUCUUUUAUUUCUUUCAAUAAUAUAUACAUGUAAAAACAUACAAAUAUCAUACAUUAUUUUGAACAUAAAAUCAUGAAACAUUCAGAUGAGAUUUUAAAAAAAAUAAUGAAAGAAAAAGGUAUCCCAAAAAGCCUCAAAGGCUUGACAGUGUAUAUCCAAUGUUGGUUUUAACAUUUAACAAAAUUUUAAUGAAACAUAUUUCCUCAUGUGACUGACGUGGAAUAAAACAAUAGUUUUCUUCGCAAUAAAGCAUAUACACCCAUA
Lytechinus variegatus (green sea urchin) is the source of this 688-nucleotide long non-coding RNA. RefSeq lists it as uncharacterized. The record is from RefSeq and is a predicted model, not a curated record. The transcript has 3 exons. NCBI's taxonomy places the organism in Eukaryota, Metazoa, Echinodermata, Echinoidea, Temnopleuroida, Toxopneustidae.